This 375-nucleotide ribosomal RNA is filed under the name uncultured organism. Its description in RNAcentral is "partial 16S ribosomal RNA". It matches the Rfam family "Bacterial small subunit ribosomal RNA", at positions 527 to 896 of the family's 1533-position model. The record is from RNAcentral.
GGAGGGGGCGAGCGUUAUUCGGAAUUAUUGGCGUAAAGGGCAGGUAGGCGGCCUGGUAUGUCCUAUGUGAAAUCCCUCGGCUCAACCGAGGAAUUGCAUCGGAAACUGCGAGGCUUGAGUCCGGGAGAGGGGAGCGGAAUUCCCAGUGUAGCGGUGAAAUGCGUAGAUAUUGGGAGGAACACCAGUGGCGAAGGCGGCUCCCUGGACCGGUACUGACGCUCAGCUGCGAAAGCCAGGGGAGCGAACGGGAUUAGAUACCCCGGGUAGUCCUGGCUGUAAACGAUGAGCACUUGGUGCGGUGGGUAUCGACCCCCGUGCCGUGCCCGGAGCUAACGCGUUAAGUGCUCCGCCUGGGGGAGUACGGUCGCAAGGCUG